This 71-nucleotide transfer RNA is filed under the name Nematostella vectensis (starlet sea anemone). It matches the Rfam family "tRNA". From Rfam's summary of the family: Transfer RNA (tRNA) molecules are approximately 80 nucleotides in length. Their secondary structure includes four short double-helical elements and three loops (D, anti-codon, and T loops). Lineage: Eukaryota; Metazoa; Cnidaria; Anthozoa; Actiniaria; Edwardsiidae. The record is from Rfam by way of RNAcentral.
UCACUGGUGGUUCAGUGGUAGAAUUCUCGCCUGCCACGCGGGCGGUCCGGGUUCUAUUCCCUGCCAGUGCA